RNAcentral lists this ribosomal RNA (396 nucleotides) under uncultured bacterium. RNAcentral describes it as "partial 16S ribosomal RNA". It matches the Rfam family "Bacterial small subunit ribosomal RNA", at positions 523 to 918 of the family's 1533-position model. The record is from RNAcentral.
AUACGUAGGGAGCGAGCGUUGUCCGGAAUUACUGGGUGUAAAGGGAGCGUAGGCGGGACGGCAAGUCAGAUGUGAAAUACAUGGGCUCAACCCAUGGGCUGCAUUUGGAACUGCUGUUCUUGAGUGAAGUAGAGGUAAGCGGAAUUCCUGGUGUAGCGGUGAAAUGCGUAGAUAUCAGGAGGAACACCGGUGGCGAAGGCGGCUUACUGGGCUUUUACUGACGCUGAGGCUCGAAAGCGUGGGGAGCAAACAGGAUUAGAUACCCUGGUAGUCCACGCUGUAAACGAUGACCACUAGGUGUGGGGGGACUGACCCCUUCCGUGCCGCAGUUAACACAAUAAGUGAUCCACCUGGGGAGUACGGCCGCAAGGUUGAAACUCAAAUGAAUUGACGGGG